UACGGAGGGGGCUAGCGUUGUUCGGAAUUACUGGGCGUAAAGCGCACGUAGGCGGCUUUGUAAGUUAGAGGUGAAAGCCCGGGCUCAACCCCGGAAUUGCCUUUAAGACUGCAUCGCUAGAAUUGUGGAGAGGUAAGUGGAAUUCCGAGUGUAGAGGUGAAAUUCGUAGAUAUUCGGAAGAACACCAGUGGCGAAGGCGACUUACUGGACACAUAUUGACGCUGAGGUGCGAAAGCGUGGGGAGCAAACAGG
Molecule: ribosomal RNA, 252 nt
Filed under: uncultured bacterium
Lineage: Bacteria
Description: partial 16S ribosomal RNA
Rfam family: Bacterial small subunit ribosomal RNA
Source: RNAcentral